AUGGCGGAGGACGGCCUCAACGACUACGAGCGCCUUCGCCAGGAGAACAUCCGCCGCAACCAGGAAAAGCUCGCCCCCCUCCGCCGCAAGGCCGACGAGCUCUCCGCCGCCAUCCGGCUCGCCAAACCUAAGCGGCCGUAUCAGGCCAGGCCCAAGCCCACGGCCCCGACCGGCCCCGUCCGCUCCUCCGGCCGCGCCCGCGGCGUCGCCCCCGACAACCUCCCCCCGGAUCUCAGAAGCACCCGCCUCGCGCCCUCGCUCGCCUCCUCCAUCCUCGGGGUUCCCCCGCCGGAGGGGGCCAAGGUUCGUGCGGCGGGCGAUUUCGAUGCUGGGAGGGACAUGGUGCUGAUGCCCGCGCACGCGAGGAAGGUGAUGCCCUGUUGCAUAGUGUCGAUGCGGGUCCUUCCGCUCGCCGACCGGACCGUGGUGGCGGCGGGCGACAGAAUGGGGAAUAUUGGGUACUGGGACGUCGACGGUGUCUCGGAGGAUGCAGAUGGGGUGUUCCGUUAUUGGCCACACAAGGGCCCUGUGUUAGCAAUCGUGGCGCACCAGGCGGCACCACACAAGGUUUACAGCUCUAGCCAUCAGGGUGAUAUUUGUCUUAUGGACUUUGAGGAGGAAAAGUACAGUAUCAUCCAUUUAUGGGAGUGGCCUGUUUAUUCGCUUUGUCAAGCGCAAAAUAGUGUCGGAUGCCUAUAUUUUGGUGAUGGAAAAGGUGGCCUGACACUUUCUGAUGAGCGCGUGGGUAAGGUGUUAACUACAUGGGAUGUGCAUGAGGACAGAAUCAACUCAAUAGAUUUUCAUCCGGAGAAGCCACAUAUGCUUGCUACCAGUUCAACGGAUCGAACAGCCUGUAUAUGGGAUGUGAGAAAUAUAAAAACGAAGGAGCCAGAUAGCCUGAAGGUUUUCAAACUUAACAAUUCUGCUCAGUCAGCUUAUUUCUCACCUAGUGGCCGCAUGUUAGCAGUAACAAGCUCCAGCAUUUGUGGUACUGUCCAAGUAUUUAGCAUGGAUGACUUUGAAAAGUCGCAUACUGUGGAGUAUAAUGACCAGAAAGGCUGUUGGCCUUCUAAAUCCAAGGUUAUCUGGGGCUGGAACGACACCGACCUAUAUGCUGGAAACAGAAGCAAGGGAAUAGACAUUAUCUCAGUUGAUGUCAAUGACAGUGGCCUCUCGGUUCAGAACAGCUCAUGUCUUAGGAGUGAACACAUGACAUGCAUUCCACACCAGUUUUCUGCACACCCAUAUAAAGUUGGCUAUCUUGCCUGUUCAAGCUCCAGCAGCAAUGUCUUCCUUUGGACCAGAACUUAA
This 1311-nucleotide ribosomal RNA is filed under the name Triticum aestivum (bread wheat). Its description in RNAcentral is "partial small subunit ribosomal RNA". Lineage: Eukaryota; Viridiplantae; Streptophyta; Magnoliopsida; Poales; Poaceae. The record is from RNAcentral.